This is a long non-coding RNA of Triticum urartu, 323 nucleotides long. RefSeq lists it as uncharacterized. The record is from RefSeq and is a predicted model, not a curated record. Lineage: Eukaryota; Viridiplantae; Streptophyta; Magnoliopsida; Poales; Poaceae.
CAGAGGCCUAAUGAAAGCAGGAGGAUUCAGACUGAUGAGGCUGUCCAAGAUCGUUGUGAACAAGGUGAAAUUGGUGAAGCACGAGCCCUUGUCGACGGCUUCAGUUACUACACUGUGCUUAAGCUGUACAGAAAUGAAGUGUUCGACUCGAGCAUCAACACAUACGCCUUCUGCUUCAUCCUUUAUGGGAACGUGAAGAAAUAUUAGAAGAGGUCCGAGCUGUGAGAAUGAUCAUGACAUUGAUGAUGAUGAGGAUGACAUCUAUGGCAACAAGGGAGAUGAUAGCUUUGGCGAUAAGCAUUGUGAUAAAGUAGAGCUCUGAA